AAGUCAUAACAAGGUUUCCGUAGGUGAACCUGCGGAAGGAUCAUUAAUGAUGCCCUCGAAGUCCUUGGACUGGUAGGGUUUGUGUCGGUCUCUUCGGAGUCGACCUUAUCUCACACACCGUGAACUGUGGCUUCGGCCAUUUACACAAACUGUUAGUAAUGAAUGUAAUAUCAUAACAAACAUAAAA
This 187-nucleotide unclassified non-coding RNA is filed under the name plant metagenome. RNAcentral describes it as "partial contains small subunit ribosomal RNA and internal transcribed spacer 1". The stretch from base 1 to 46 matches the Rfam family "Eukaryotic small subunit ribosomal RNA", at positions 1786 to 1831 of the family's 1831-position model. The record is from RNAcentral.